GCCCGGNUAGCUCAGUCGGUAGAGCAUGAGAC
Molecule: non-coding RNA, 32 nt
Filed under: Homo sapiens (human)
Lineage: Eukaryota; Metazoa; Chordata; Mammalia; Primates; Hominidae
Source: RNAcentral